Molecule: long non-coding RNA, 218 nt
Filed under: Mytilus galloprovincialis (Mediterranean mussel)
Lineage: Eukaryota; Metazoa; Mollusca; Bivalvia; Mytilida; Mytilidae
Source: RNAcentral
AUUAAAUAAAAUUGAGAAAGGAAAUGGUGAAUAUGUCAAAGCGACAACCACCCGACCAUAGAGCAAACAACAGCCGAAGGCAACCAAUGGGUCUUCAAUGUAGCGAGAAUUCCCGCACCCGUAGGUGUCCUUCAGCUGGCCCCUAAAAUAUGCAUAAUAGUACAGUGAUAAUGGACGUCAUACUAAACUCCGAAUUAUACACAAGAAACUAAAAUUUA